Molecule: ribosomal RNA, 164 nt
Filed under: Fleroya rubrostipulata
Lineage: Eukaryota; Viridiplantae; Streptophyta; Magnoliopsida; Gentianales; Rubiaceae
Description: 5.8S ribosomal RNA
Rfam family: 5.8S ribosomal RNA
About the family: 5.8S ribosomal RNA (5.8S rRNA) is a component of the large subunit of the eukaryotic ribosome. It is transcribed by RNA polymerase I as part of the 45S precursor that also contains 18S and 28S rRNA. Functionally, it is thought that 5.8S rRNA may be involved in ribosome translocation.
Source: RNAcentral
CAAACGACACUCGGCAACGAAUAUCUCGGCUCUCGCAUCGAUGAAGAACGUAGCGAAAUGCGAUACUUGGUGUGAAUUGCAGAAUCCCGUGAACCAUCAAGUUUUUGAACGCAAGUUGCGCCCGAAGCCGUCAGGCUAAGGGCACGUCUGCCUGGGUGUCACGC